This 194-nucleotide small nuclear RNA is filed under the name Pelobates cultripes (western spadefoot toad). The record is from RNAcentral. Lineage: Eukaryota; Metazoa; Chordata; Amphibia; Anura; Pelobatidae.
CUCUCUGCAUUAUUAUAAGGUGUGUUAAGUAGUACUAUUCUUAUCAGUUUAAUCCCUGUUACGUCCCCUAAUAGAGGACAUGUAUAUGGUAUCGAUUUUAGGAACCGGGAGAUGGAAAACGAUGCUUGGUCGGUCCUCCUACUUCAAAUUUGGGGCACUGCGCGUGCAAUCUAAUGUGCCACCGGAUAUGAGUG